RNAcentral lists this transfer RNA (20 nucleotides) under Oriolus auratus (african golden-oriole). Its description in RNAcentral is "partial tRNA-Gly". RNAcentral also lists the same sequence under 3 other names. The record is from RNAcentral. Lineage: Eukaryota; Metazoa; Chordata; Aves; Passeriformes; Corvidae.
UUUAAGCCCAGAGAAGAGUA